GAUGAACGCUGGCGGCGUGCCUAAUACAUGCAAGUCGAGCGAACAGACGAGGAGCUUGCUCCUCUGACGUUAGCGGCGGACGGGUGAGUAACACGUGGAUAACCUACCUAUAAGACUGGGAUAACUUCGGGAAACCGGAGCUAAUACCGUAUAAUAUAUUGAACCGCAUGGUUCAUUAGUGAAAGACGGUUUUGCUGUCACUUAUAGAUGGAUCCGCGCCGCAUUAGCUAGUUUGUAAGGUAACGGCUUAACAAGGCGACGAUGCGUAGCCGACCUGAGAGGGUGAUCGGCCACACUGGAACUGAGACACGGUCCAGACUCCUACGGGAGGCAGCAGUAGGGAAUCUUCCGCAAUGGGCGAAAGCCUGACGGAGCAACGCCGCGUGAGUGAUGAAGGUCUUCGGAUCGUAAAACUCUGUUAUUAGGGAAGAACAAAUGUGUAAGUAACUAUGCACGUCUUGACGGUACCUAAUCAGAAAGCCACGGCUAACUACGUG
RNAcentral lists this ribosomal RNA (497 nucleotides) under uncultured bacterium. Its description in RNAcentral is "partial 16S ribosomal RNA". It matches the Rfam family "Bacterial small subunit ribosomal RNA", at positions 28 to 507 of the family's 1533-position model. The record is from RNAcentral.